UACGGAGGGGGCUAGCGUUGUCCGAAGUUACUGGGCGUAAAGCGCAUGUAGGCGGCAGCGCAAGUCGGGCGUGAAAUCCCACGGCUCAACCGUGGAAGUGCACUCGAAACUGCGCAGCUAGAGUCCUGGAGAGGAAGGUGGAAUGCUUGGUGUAGAGGUGAAAUUCGUAGAUAUCAAGCGGAACACCGGUGGCGAAGGCGGCCUUCUGGACAGUGACUGACGCUGAGACGCGAAAGCGUGGGGAGCAAACAGG
Molecule: ribosomal RNA, 253 nt
Filed under: uncultured bacterium
Lineage: Bacteria
Description: partial 16S ribosomal RNA
Rfam family: Bacterial small subunit ribosomal RNA
Source: RNAcentral